CCUACGGGUGGCAGCAGUGAGGAAUAUUGGUCAAUGGCCGAGAGGCUGAACCAGCCAAGUCGCGUGAGGGAAGACGGCCCUACGGGUUGUAAACCUCUUCUGUCGCGGAGCAAAGAGAGUGACGUGUGACCCAUCGAGAGUACCCGAAGAAAAAGCAUCGGCUAACUCCGUGCCAGCAGCCGCGGUAAGACGGAGGAGGCGAGCGGUGUCCGGAUUUAUUGGGGUUAAAGGGUGCGCAGGCGGGGGUGCAAGUCAGCGGUAAAAUGGCGGGGCUCAACCCCGUACUGCCGUUGAAACUGCAUCCCUUGAGUGCGCGAGAAGUAUGCGGAAUGCGUGGUGUAGCGGUGAAAUGCAUAGAUAUCACGCAGAACUCCGAUUGCGAAGGCAGCAUACCGGCGCGCAACUGACGCUCAUGCACGAAAGCGUGGGUAUCGAACAGGAUUAGAUACCCGAGUAGUC
This 459-nucleotide ribosomal RNA is filed under the name uncultured bacterium. Its description in RNAcentral is "partial 16S ribosomal RNA". It matches the Rfam family "Bacterial small subunit ribosomal RNA", at positions 338 to 795 of the family's 1533-position model. The record is from RNAcentral.